Oncorhynchus tshawytscha (Chinook salmon) is the source of this 7316-nucleotide long non-coding RNA. NCBI's taxonomy places the organism in Eukaryota, Metazoa, Chordata, Actinopteri, Salmoniformes, Salmonidae. The record is from Ensembl.
UCCUAAACCAGUCCUAUCUGGUGCAAAACACAGAGACAGGAACAAUCACCCACAAACACACAGUGAAACCCAGGCUACCUAAAUAUGGUUCCCAAUCAGAGACAAUGACUAACACCUGCCUCUGAUUGAGAACCAUAUCAGGCCAUACAUAGAAAUAGACAAACAAGACAUCCAACAUAGAAUGCCCACUCAGAUCACACCCUGACCAACCAAAACAUAGAAACAUACAAAGCAAACUAUGGUCAGGGUGUGACACCAUCAGUAAAGCAAAUUCAUAUUUAAAUGCUAUGACAAAUAUGAACACUACCACAAUUUAAUGAUUUCCCUUUAUAUUAAUUGAUGAAUACAAUUAUCUUAAAAUGUAUUCCAAUAAUGGCCCAAAAUCUAAAUAAAAACUCAAGAAUAACUACGUACCUGAAACCUAGAACCUCUGUGCGAUUAAAACUGGAUCCAUAUUUGUUUCGAUAAACUGUGUCCAGCUGUAAAAGUAAUAUAAGCAAUUUUAGCAAUUUAUCUUGAGAACUGAAAUGUUGACAAACAAUUUGAGGGAACGUGUUUGACAUAAUGACAAAUAUAAAAACUUAUUUGGGGGAUGAAAUGCCCCUUUAAGAACCUGACAGCUGUACAACUGAAGAUGAACAGUAUUAUUAAAAGAGUGGAAAGUAAAACAGAAUUUACCGCUGUAGCCACAGUACUUGCUAAUGCUUUGAACGCUGGUGAAGAAACAUUUUUCAAAUCUGCUUUGAAGUUUUGCUCCAAUUUGAAGUCCAACUUAACCUCUGGUGGUGGAGGGGCAGGUGUUCUGAUAGUAGUUGAGGAACCAGUUGUAACUGUGGUCAGAGCAACUGUGGUUGUUGUUGGAGUAGCUGUGGUUGUUUUGGGAGGAGCUGUGGUUCUUGUGGGAGCAGCUGUGGUUGUUGUGGGAGCAACUGUGGUUGUUGUGGGAGCAACUGUGGUUGUUGUGGGAGCAACUGUGGUUGUUGUGAGACCAGCUGUGGUUGUUAUUGGAGCAGCUAUGGUUGUUGUUGGAGUAGUUGUGGUUGUUGUAGGAACAGCUAAGGUAGUUGUGGGAGCAGCUGUGGUUGUUGUUGGAGCAGCUGUUGUUGUUAUGAGGGAACCUGUGGUUGUUGUGGGGGCAGCUGUGGUUGUUGUUGGAGCAGCUGUGGUUGUUGUUAGAGCACCUGUGGUUGCUGUUGGAGCAGCUGUUGUUGUUGGAGCAGCUGUGGUUGUUGUUGGACCAGCUGUGGUUGUUGUGAGACCAGCUGUGGUUGUUGUGGGAGCAACUGUGGUUGUUGUGGGAGCAACUGUGGUUGUUGUGGGAGCAACUGUGGUUGUUGUGGGAGCAACUGUGGUUGUUGUGAGACCAGCUGUGGUUGGUGUGAGACCAGCUGUGGUUGGUGUGAGACCAGCUGUGGUUGUUGUGAGACCAGCUGUGGUUGUUGUUGGAGCAGCUAUGGUUGUUAUUGGAGCAGCUGUGGUUGUUGUUGGAGUAGUUAUGGUUGUUGUAGGAAUAGCUGUGGUAGUUGUGGGAGCAGCUGUGGUUGUUGUGGGAGCAAGUGUGGUUGUUGUGGGAGCAAAUGUGUUUGUUGUUAGACCAGCUGUGGUUGUUAGGGGAGCAGCUGUGGUUGUUGCGGGAGCAGCUGUGGUUGUUGUGGGAGCAGCUGUGGUUGUUGUUGGAGCAGUUAUGGUUGUUGUAGCUGCAGCUGUUGUCGUCGUAGCAGCAGCUGAAGUUGCUAUGAGGGAACCUGUGGUUGUUGUUAGAGCAGCUGAGGUUGUUGUUAGAGCAGCUGUGGUUGUUGUUGGAGCAGCUGUGGUUGUUGUUGGAGCAGCUGUGGUUGUUGUUGGAGCAGCUGUGGUUGUUGUUGGAGCAGCUGUGGUUGUUGUUGGAGCAGCUGUGGUUGUUGUUGGAGCAGCUGUGGUUGUUGUAAGAGCAGCUAUGGUUGUUAUUGGAGCAGCUGUGGUUGUUGUUGGAGUAGUUAUGGUUGUUGUAGGAACAGCUAAGGUAGUUGUGGGAGCAGCUGUGGUUGUUGUGGGAGCAACUGUGGUUGUUGUGGGAGCAACUGUGGUUGUUGUGAGACCAGCGGUGGUUGUUAGGGGAGCAGCUGUGGUUGUUGUUGGAGCAGCUGUGGUUGUUGUUAGAGCAGCUGUGGUUGUUGUUAGAGCAGCUGUGGUUGUUGUUGGAGCAGCUGUGGUUGUUGUUGGAGCAGCUGGUGUUGUUGUUGGACCAGCUGUGGUUGUUGUGGGAGCAACUGUGGUUGUUGUGGGAGCAACUGUGGUUGUUGUGGGAGCAACUGUGGUUGUGAGACCAGCUGUGGUUGUUGUGAGACCAGCUGUGGUUGUUGUGAGACCAGCUGUGGUUGUUGUGAGACCAGCUGUGGUUGUUGUUGGAGCAGCUGUGGUUGUUGUUGGAGCAGCUGUGGUUGUUGUUGGAGCAGCUGUGGUUGUUGUAAGAGCAGCUAUGGUUGUUAUUGGAGCAGCUGUGGUUGUUGUUGGAGUAGUUAUGGUUGUUGUAGGAAUAGCUGUGGUAGUUGUGGGAGCAGCUGUGGUUGUUGUGGGAGCAGCUGUGGUUGUUGCGGGAAAAACUGUUGUUGUUGUGGGAGCAAAUGUGUUUGUUGUUAGACCAGCUGUGGUUGUUAGGGGAGCAGCUGUGGUUGUUGCGGGAGCAGCUGUGGUUGUUGUGGGAGCAGCUGUGGUUGUUGUGGGAGCAACUGUGGUUGUUGUGGGAGCAACUGUGGUUGUUAUGAGACCAGUGGUGGUUGUUGGGGAGCAGCUGUGGUUGUUGUUGUAGCAGUUAUGGUUGUUGUAGCUGCAGCUGUUGUAGUCUUAGCAGCAGCUGAGGUUAUUAUGAGGGAACCUGUGGUUGUUGUGGGGGCAGCUGUGGUUGUUGUUAGAGCAGCUGUGGUUGUUGUUAGAGCUGCUGUUGUUGUUGGGGAUUAGCUGUGGUUGUUGUUGGAGCAGCUGUGGUUGUUGUUAGAGCAGCUGUGGUUGUUGUUAGAGCAGCUGUGGUUGUUGUUGGAGCAGCUGUGGUUGUUGUUGGAGCAGCUGUAGUUGUGGGAGCAGCUGUGGUUGUUGUGGGAGCAACUGUGGUUGUUGUGGGAGCAACUGUGGUUGUUGUGAGACCAGCGGUGGUUGUUAGGGGAGCAGCUGUGGUUGUUGUUGGAGCAGCUGUGGUUGUUGUUAGAGCAGCUGUGGUUGUUGUUGGAGCAGCUGUUGUUGUUAUGAGGGAACCUGUGGUUGUUGUGGGGGCAGCUGUGGUUGUUGUUAGAGCAGCUGUGGUUGUUGUUAGAGCAGCUGUGGUUGUUGUUGGAGCAGCUGUUGUUGUUGGAGCAGCUGUGGUUGUUGUUGGACCAGCUGUGGUUGUUGUGAGACCAGCUGUGGUUGUUGUGGGAGCAGCUGUGGUUGUUGUGGGAGCAACUGUGGUUGUUGUGGGAGCAACUGUGGUUGUUGUUGGAGCAGCUGUGGUUGUUGUUGGAGCAGCUGUGGUUGUUGUAAGAGCAGCUAUGGUUGUUAUUGGAGCAGCUGUGGUUGUUGUUGGAGUAGUUAUGGUCGUUGUAGGAAUAGCUGUGGUAGUUGUGGGAGCAGCUGGUAGUUGUGGGAGCAGCUGUGGUUGUUGUUGGACCAGCUGUGGUUGUUGUGAGACCAGCUGUGGUUGUUGUGGGAGCAACUGUGGUUGUUGUGGGAGCAACUGUGGUUGUUGUGGGAGCAACUGUGGUUGUUGUGAGACCAGCUGUGGUUGUUGUGAGACCAGCUGUGGUUGUUGUGAGACCAGCUGUGGUUGUUGUGAGACCAGCUGUGGUUGUUGUUGGAGCAGCUGUGGUUGUUGUUGGAGCAGCUGUGGUUGUUGUUGGAGCAGCUGUGGUCAUUGUAAGAGCAGCUAUGGUUGUUAUUGGAGCAGCUGUGGUUGUUGUUGGAGUAGUUAUGGUCGUUGUAGGAAUAGCUGUGGUAGUUGUGGGAGCAGCUGUGGUUGUUGUGGGAGCAGCUGUGGUUGUUGUGGGAGCAACUGUUGUUGUUGUGGGAGCAAAUGUGUUUGUUGUUAGACCAGCUGUGGUUGUUAGGGGAGCAGCUGUGGUUGUUGCGGGAGCAGCUGUGGUUGUUGUGGGAGCAGCUGUGGUUGUUGUGGAAGCAACUGUGGUUGUUGUGGGAGCAACUGUGGUUGUUAUGAGACCAGUGGUGGUUGUUAGGGGAGCAGCUGUGGUUGUUGUUGGAGCAGUUAUGGUUGUUGUAGCUGCAGCUGUUGUAGUCGUAGCAGCAGCUGAGGUUGUUAUGAGGGAACCUGUGGUUGUUGUGGGGGCAGCUGUGGUUGUUGUUAGAGCAGCUGUGGUUGUUGUUAGAGCAGCUGUUGUUGUUGUUAGAGCAGCUGUGGUUGUUGUUGGAGCAGCUGUGGUUGUUGUAAGAGAAGCUAUGGUUGUUAUUGGAGCAGCUGUGGUUGUUGUUGGAGCAGUAAUGGUUGUAGUAGGUACAGCUAAGGUAGUUGUGGGAGCAGCUGUGGUUGUUGUGGGAGCAGCUGUGGUUGUUGUUGGAGCAGCUGUGGUUGUUGUUGGAGCAGCUGUGGUUGUUGUAAGAGCAGCUAUGUUUGUUAUUGGAGCAGCUGUGGUUGUUGUUGGAGUAGUUAUGGUUGUUGUAGGAACAGCUAAGGUAGUUGUGGGAGCAGCUGUGGUUGUUGUGGGAGCAGCUGUGGUUGUUGUGGGAGCAGCUGUGGUUGUUGUGGGAGCAACUGUGGUUGUUGUGGGAGCAACUGUGGUUGUUGUGGGAGCAACUGUGGUUGUUGUGAGACCAGCUGUGGUUGUUGUUGGAGCAACUGUGGUUGUUGUAAGACCAGCUGUGGUUGUUGUUGGACCAGCUGUGGUUGUUGUUGGAGCAGCUGUGGUUGUUGUAAGAGCAGCUGUGGUUGUUGUAAGAGCAGCUGUGGUUGUUGUUGGAGCAGCUGUGGUUGUUGUUGGAGUAGUUAUGGUUGUUGUAGGAACAGCUAAGGUAGUUGUGGGAGCAGCUGUGGUUGUUGUGGGAGCAGCUGUGGUUGUUGUGGGAGCAGCUGUGGUUGUUGUGGGAGCAGCUGUGGUUGUUGUGGUAGCAGCUGUGGUUGUUGUGGGAGCAACUGUGGUUGUUGUGGGAGCAACUGUGGUUGUUGUGAGACCAGCUGUGGUUGUUGUUGGAGCAACUGUGGUUGUUGUAAGACCAGCUGUGGUUGUUGUUGGAGCAGCUGUGGUUGUUGUUGGAGCAGCUGUGGUUGUUGUUGGAGCAGCUGUGGUUGUUGUAAGAGCAGCUGUGGUUGUUGUUGGAGCAGCUGUGGUUGUUGUUGGAGUAGUUAUGGUUGUUGUAGGAACAGCUAAGGUAGUUGUGGGAGCAGCUGUGGUUGUUGUGGGAGCAGCUGUGGUUGUUGUGGGAGCAGCUGUGGUAGUUGUGGGAGCAACUGUGGUUGUUAUGAGACCAGUGGUGGUUGUUAGGGGAGCAGCUGUGGUUGUUGUUGGAGCAGUUAUGGUUGUUGUAGCUGCAGCUGUUGUCGUCGUAGCAGCAGCUGAGGUUGUUAUGAGGGAACCUGUGGUUGUUGUGGGGGCAGCUGUGGUUGUUGUAAGACCAGCUGUGGUUGUUGUUGGAGCAGCUGUGGUUGUUGUUGGAGCAGCUGUGGUUGUUGUUGGAGUAGUUAUGGUUGUUGUAGGAACAGCUAAGGUAGUUGUGGGAGCAGCUGUGGUUGUUGUGGGAGCAGCUGUGGUUGUUGUGGGAGCAGCUGUGGUAGUUGUGGGAACAGCUGUGGUUGUUGUGGGAGCAGCUGUGGUUGUUGUGGGAGCAGCUGUGGUAGUUGUGGGAGCAACUGUGGUUGUUGUGGGAGCAACUGUGGUUGUUGUGGGUGCAACUGUGGUUGUUGUGAGACCAGCGGUGGUUGUUAGGGGAGCAGCUGUGGUUGUUGUUGGAGCAGUUAUGGUUGUUAUAGCUGCAGCUGUUGUUGUCGUAGCAGCAGCUGAGGUUGUUAUUAGGGAACCUGUGGUUGUUGUGGGGGCAGCUGUGGUUGUUGUUAGAGCAGCUGUGGUUGUUGUUGGAGCAGUUGUUGUUGUUGGAGCAGCUGUGGUUGUUGUUGGACCAGCUGUGGUUGUUGUGAGAUCAGCUGUGGUUGUUGUAAGACCAGCUGUGGUUGUUGUGGGAGCAACUGUGGUUGUUGUGGGAGCAACUGUGGUUGUUGUGGGAGCAACUGUGGUUGUUGUGGGAGCAACUGUGGUUGUUGUGAGACCAGCUGUGGUUGUUGUGAGACCAGCUGUGGUUGUUGUUGGAGCAGCUGUGGUUGUUGUUGGAGCUGCUGUGGUUGUUGUUGGAGCAGCUGUGGUUGUUGUAAGAGCACCUAUGGUUGUUAUUGGAGCAGCUGUGGUUGUUGUUGGAGUAGUUAUGGUUGUUGUAGGAAUAGCUAAGGUAGUUGUGGGAGCAGCUGUGGUUGUUGUGGGAGCAGCUGUGGUUGUUGUGGGAGCAACUGUGGUUGUUAUGAGACCAGUGGUGGUUGUUAGGGGAGCAGCUGUGGUUGUUGUUGGAGCAGUUAUGGUUGUUGUAGCUGCAGCUGUUGUCGUCGUAGCAGCAGCUGAGGUUGUUAUGAGGGAACCUGUGGUUGUUGUAAGAGCAGCUGUGGUUGUUAUUGGAGCAGCUGUGGUUGUUGUUGAAGCAGCUGUGGUUGUUGUUGGAGUAGUUAUGGUUGUUGUAGGAACAGCUAAGGUAGUUGUGGGAACAGCUGUGGUUGUUGUGGGAGCAGCUGUGGUUGUUGUGGGAGCAGCUGUGGUAGUUGUGGGAGCAACUGUGGUUGUUGUGGGAGCAACUGUGGUUGUUGUGGGAGCAACUGUGGUUGUUGUGAGACCAGCGGUGGUUGUUAGGGAGCAGCUGUGGUUGUUGUUGGAGCAGUUAUGGUUGUUAUAGCUGCAGCUGUUGUUGUCGUAGCAGCAGCUGAGGUUGUUAUGAGGGAACCUGUGGUUGUUUUGGGGGCAUCUGUGGUUGUUGUUAGAGCAGCUGUGGUUGUUGUUAGAGCAGCUGUGGUUGUUGUUAGAGCAGCUGUGGUUGUUGUUAGAGCAGCUGUGGUUGUUGUUGGAGCAGCUGUGGUUGUUGUGGGAGAAGCUGUGGUUGUUGUGUGAGAAGGUGUGACUGUUAGAACAGAUAUGGUUGUUGCUGGAGAUGUUGUGGUUGUUGUCAGAGCAGUUAUGGUUGUUAUGGGAGCAGUUGUGGUUGUUUUUGGAACAUCUGGGGUUGUUGUGGGAGCAGCUGUGGUUGUUGUGGGAGCAACUGUGGUUGUUGUAUCCACAGCUGAAGUUGGUGUUGUGGCUGCUGGGAGUUGUGUUGUUUCGAUGACC